UGGGGAAUAUUGCACAAUGGGCGAAAGCCUGAUGCAGCAACGCCGCGUGAGUGAUGAAGGCCUUCGGGUUGUAAAGCUCUGUCUUUUGGGACGAUAAUGACGGUACCAAAGGAGGAAGCCACGGCUAACUACGUGCCAGCAGCCGCGGUAAUACGUAGGUGGCAAGCGUUGUCCGGAUUUUACUGGGCGUAAAGGAUGCGUAGGCGGAUUUUUAAGUGAGAUGUGAAAACCCUAAGCUUAACUUGGGGACUGCAUUUCAUACUGGAAAUCUAGAGUGCGGGAGAGGAGAAUGGAAUUCCUAGUGUAGCGGUGAAAUGCGUAGAGAUUAGGAAGAACACCAGUGGCGAAGGCGAUUCUCUGGACCGUAACUGACGCUGAGGCAUGAAAAGCGUGGGUAGCAAACAGGAUUAGAUACCCUGGUAGUCCACGCCGUAAACGAUGAGUACUAGGUGUAGGAGGUAUCGACCCCUUCUGUGCCGCAGUUAACACAAUAAGUACUCCGCCUGGGAAGUACGAUCGCAAGAUUAAAACUCAAAGGAAUUGACGGGGUCAUAGCUG
RNAcentral lists this ribosomal RNA (558 nucleotides) under uncultured bacterium. Its description in RNAcentral is "partial 16S ribosomal RNA". It matches the Rfam family "Bacterial small subunit ribosomal RNA", at positions 355 to 932 of the family's 1533-position model. The record is from RNAcentral.